GAAGAACCCGGAAAAACACACGGAUGUUGUAGAGCAGAUAGGCUAAUAUUGAAAGCAUGUAUGCCAUAAAAUCUUCUGAAACCAUGGCAUUGAAAAGGGAAUUUAUCUCCCUUUUAAACUCUUAAGGAGAAUGUUAGGAGUAAGAAGUCAGUCUGUCAGGAUGAUUUCUCCUUUGGUUUAUACAGAAGUUGAUAUUUUGUUGAAUUUUACAUGAUGAAGAAUGUCACAUUUGAAGAACCAUGAGUUUCGAUGGACCAAGAGUUGUAUGAGGAUGUUGAUUUAGGAUUUGGGACUUUUUUGUCCAUCAUGUUUGUGACCGAUACCUUGUACUCAUAGUCUUGGGGGGACUGUGUGUGACUUUAGAGAUCACAGCCCGCCGUCUCACCUCGUCCCAAUCCGGCAUUCAGACGGUUCCAGAAGCUCUUUCUGUAGGCGUAUCUCCUGGCCCUCUGGGCAGACUGGCUGCAGGGACCUUACCUUUAUAAACUCUACAACUUUACAACUUUCUGGAGUCUCAGAUCGACAUUCGUGUGUGGCCUUGCUUCUUGUGUGCUAUUUGCUCCUGUGGCCAGCUGGCUAUCGCAGUUUCUGGGACAGAGACAGACGUGUCUCCUCUUCUGACUGGCUUAUUCUGUCAUCUACAUUACAAAGCUGUCACAAGACUAUUUCAUACUAGGAUGUGUUUUAGGAGGCCUGUAAACUUUUUACCUACUUUUCUUUUAAUUAGAAAAGUUUUUGUAUUUCCAAAAUCCAAUCUUAUGCUAAUUGAAAGAAAACAAGUUGAUAAAAAAUUUAAUACGUAAUUUGUUAAUAACAUAAUGAAAUAUAUACAAGCAAUAUUUUGUAGCCAGAUCAUGUUUUUUACCAAUAAUGUAAAAAUGAAAAUGUAUUUGUUAAAGGUACAAAUAUGUUAA
Molecule: long non-coding RNA, 914 nt
Organism: Carassius gibelio (silver crucian carp)
Lineage: Eukaryota; Metazoa; Chordata; Actinopteri; Cypriniformes; Cyprinidae
Exons: 3
Source: RefSeq, a predicted model, not a curated record